UUCUGCUAGGCGGACUUAAUCCACAGGACGGCACUAUUGCAUUGCACAGAUCUCUUCUGUCCAGCUCACACACGCAUUUCCGGUUUCAUCUCCAUGCGGUCUCCUGACUUAUUUUUCUUCCUUUGACCUCCUGCAUCAAGAGUGUGCAGUCAUGGUAAACGUACCGAAGACCCGCAGGACUUACUGCAAGAAAUGUAAGAAACAUCAAACUCACAAAGUUACCCAGUACAAGAAGGGGAAGGAUUCUCUGUAUGCACAGGGCAAAAGGAGAUAUGACAGAAAGCAAUCUGGUUAUGGUGGCCAGACCAAGCCUAUUUUCAGGAAGAAGGCUAAAACUACAAAGAAGAUCGUGUUGAGGCUGGAGUGUGUGGAGCCCAACUGUCGGCAGAAGAGAAUGGUGCCCAUCAAGAGAUGCAAACACUUUGAACUGGGAGGAGACAAGAAGAGAAAGGUAAACAUACUGGUUCUCCUCAGUUUUGAGAGCCAGCAAACUUGGCUUCUACUCGAAGCCUAAUGGAGAGCAUUGCUUGGAAAUAAGGGAAUAGGCAGACGGUGGUUUUAAUGAGAUUGACACUAAUACGAUUGAGUUAAUGAGUGGUGAUUUGAAUCUUUGCAGCAAUCUGAAAUGCCAAUUUCUAAUGUCUUUUUUCUCACUCUUUCAGGGCCAGGUCAUCCAGUUUUGAGCUCUUUUCUUGGGUCACUUGUCAAUAAAAUAUGUAUUCUAACUGUA
This is a non-coding RNA of Salmo salar (Atlantic salmon), 730 nucleotides long. Lineage: Eukaryota; Metazoa; Chordata; Actinopteri; Salmoniformes; Salmonidae. The record is from RefSeq and is a predicted model, not a curated record.